UUUAGCAAGUAAAUAAUUAGCGAAAAGGCUUAUAGAAUUAAGUUAGUAGGUUUGUAUCAAAACAUUCACUUUUUGGCUAACCAGAACAUCUUUCUUUUUCAAAGCUACUUAUAAACUAUGUUAGUUUUAAUCUACGUUAGUCGACAGUUUAUAAAAUUACUCACCCGAGGACCGGAUUGCUAAUCCGUGAAGAAAUUGCCCUUCUUCGGUCUUGGGUACAUUCCCAUACCGUCUUGUGGUUUGUUUACCACGGGAACAAAUCGUCGAAUCAUUCGGACUUCGUUUUAAAUUUUCGUCUUAGGACCUAAAACACAUCGAUAAGAAUUAGGAUUUGCUAGCGAAAAGUAAAAACAUGUUAAUUAGAACGAAUACUUAUCUGUUUUCCGUCCCGGCGAAUUCGGUCCUAAGUCGUUCCGCGGUGACAACCCUGGCGGUUGAUUAGUAGAGGCACUGUUGAUAUUUGGAAGCGGUGCUUCGAAGUCGACGGUGUCACGAAACCGUAUUUCGGAUCGGGUACAUUUCGUGGAGACGUUCCGUAGUGAUAGCUCUGGCUGUAUAGAGGCACUAUUGUCGGCGGAAAUGGUGCUUCGGAGUAAACGAUGUCACUAACUCCUACUACGAAUCAGGUGAUACUGAUUAGCAGCCAGUUACGAGUACGUAAAUAAUCGUAAGGUUAACACAUCUGCGUGUAACACACUCGCGCCCGGAGGAAGAACAUUCUUCGUUAUCGAUGGCAGACGCAUCGUCGCGUUUUCGUAGCAACCGCGUGUAAUUUUUUGUUUUUUUUUCCAUUUAGUUUUUCCCGACGGAGGUCGGUUGUCGAAGGAAUCCCACGAUGAAUAUGCUGAAAAUAAAGAAAAGGCUAUUAAAAACUAGAGAUAAAGUAAUAAUUACCGAAUACUCCCCCGGUUUAUAGCUAUUUGUUAGGUCCCACGAUGUCCUCCAGCAGCUUUUCCGACACUUUUUUCUCGAAUAUCAACAGGAAACUCAUUCACUCUUUUUUCUACUGUUGUUGUUUUUUUACUUUAAACGUCAACAGUUAGUGCGAUGUUUUUUUGCAGACGUCAUCCGCGAGAUGACAGUGCGAUGUUUUCGCGCAUGACAGUUGACGUGAUGACACGUCAAUGACUUGCAAGCAAGUUGAUGAUGCUGUCAGUAUUGAUUGCAUGAGAAUAGAGUUGCGCGCUAUUUUUUUGGAUUCUACACUGGUCGAAAAAAAGGUUUUUCGAUGUGGAGUUCAAAGUUUAGUUUUUUGGUGAUUAUUUAGUUGCAGGGUCAGACAGAAGUUCUGAUGAAAUUAGAUAAUCUAUUUUCGUUUAGUACUGGCUGUAGAGGUGUCAAACAAGUUUUGAUAAUACAGUCAGUCAGGUUAUUUGCUCAAUCAGCGGUCGUGACGGACAGGUUCCGUUGAGUUGAUUGUGCGUUUUCGUUCAAUUAGCGUGCACUUUAUUCAAAACAAUCAAAGGAAAACUUGAGUUUAGUAUUGAUCCAACUGCAGGAGGGAAUUCUUUUAUAACGGUGCGUGACCAGCAUGUGGGUUAUGAAAAUUUGAUCAGUUCUCUGAUCAAAUUUUCAUAAAAUACGGUGGUGUGAUGUAACGUUUUACGUUUUUUACCGUUUUGAAUUACGUAAAUAUUCGAAGCUUCAGACGUUUUUAUUUUUUUAAGCAAAAUCAAGUGUAAAUAAAUUUAUGAAGUAAACUUUUUUAUUGUUAUUGAGUUUAAUGGUUUUUACGUGUCGUCUGUUUUAGUUGAAUUUAAUAUUUGUAGCUUUUGACGUUUUUUUCUUUUUAAGUAAAAUAAUGUUCAAAUUCAAAUUAAAUUCGAUACGUGUCAACGAGAAAGCAAUUCGUCGACAUGGUUUGUGUCUCGACUAAAUGUUGUGAUGUUUGAGUACUAUGACGACAGGCAUAUUCAAUAUGGCAACGAUACUUUGUAAUGUUCUAUGUAGUAAAGUUAGCUCGAUGUCUCCGAAGGCGCGAACUCUAUGUCGCCAUUUGAAAUUUAAAUUGGCGCAAUGGCUAAAUAAUGAGUUAAUUGUUGUAGAAGGUUUCUUGUUCAAGAACAAACUCAAACUCGGUCAUUUCGCUUCCAUAACGGCUGGCAUUUAGAAGUUUUGCGAGUUUUAAGAAUUUGUAUUACAGAGUUUGAGUAAAGUUCAGUUUGUCGAGAUUUAAUUCUGUUGUCGGUGUAGCCGACUUUCGCAAAUUUCUAUUUUAAAAGUGUAGUGUACUAAAAAAAGCGCGUGGCGCUUUUUUUGGUACGGGCUGGAAUUUUCGAGGUCGACCCGGAGUCGGCGAAAAGGGUUUACGGCAUUUCCGCCGUUUGAUCGUUGAAGGAGUUUUUUGUGGAGUCCGUGCGCUCAUCAAGGCCCGCCCUUCGGGGUAGCGAAACGAAGUGUGGUGAAGUUUCGUAAGAAUAGUGAAGCGAAAAGUGAACCGUCGAUCGCCAAUUAAUCGACGGUGGUCCGAACCCUACGGACCGUUCAGAGAGCUCGGCGCGUGGAAUACGUCGCCAAUUGCGUACCACGGUGCCGGAUUGGAACCGAAGGCAGGGGUUCAUUUCAUCACGGGCGGUCAUAGCCGUAAAAAGCGAAGCCGUGCGGAGGUACGUUGGCCCUUGUCCGGAGGGGAAGAUCAACCCGGGAAGCGCGACAUCCGUCGACGCAGCUCUCUCGAGAAAAUCGGAGGCCUUCCGUCCAGCCGCCACCCACUUCGCAACUUUAAUUCGGCCAUACUAGCACGGGCUCAUCAGCUGCGCGCCAUCCUGCAGCUAGGCGAUUCUUCUGUCGCCGCCAUCGUCAAGGACAGCAUCGCCGCCAUCGCCACGAACAGGUUCGACGCCAUCGUUCCGAACCGGUUCGCCGCCAUCGCGCCGGCGAAACCCAGCAAGUCGACGAAGAAGAAAACCUGCGCAGGUAUGUGACUAGUGUGUAGACAUGGCCAUGAUCUAGAUAAACGUUUCCAUUUCCGUACCA
This is a long non-coding RNA of Armigeres subalbatus, 2976 nucleotides long. RefSeq lists it as uncharacterized. The transcript has 3 exons. The record is from RefSeq and is a predicted model, not a curated record. NCBI's taxonomy places the organism in Eukaryota, Metazoa, Arthropoda, Insecta, Diptera, Culicidae.